CAGCCCAGCCCCACUGUGGGCUGAGGGGCUGUGUGCACCAUGGCCUGGACCCCUCUCCUCCUCGUGCUCCUCUCUCACUGCACAGGUUCCCUCUCCCAGGCUGUGCUGACUCAGCCGCCCUCCCUCUCUGCAUCUCCUGGAGCCACAGUCAGACUCACCUGCACCCUCAGGAGUGACAUCAAUGUUGGCAGCUACUACAUCAACUGGUACCAGCAGAAGCCAGGGAGCCCUCCCAAGUUCCUCUUGUGGUAUAAAUCAGACUCAGACAAGGGCCAGGGCUCCGGGGUCCCCAGCCGCUUCUCUGGAUCCAAAGACACCUCGGCCAAUGCAGGGCUCCUGACCAUCUCUGGGCUGCAGCCUGAGGACGAGGUCGACUAUUACUGUGGGAUCUGGCACAGUAGUGCUCCUCACAGUGACUCACACACAUGGGGAAGUGGGACAAAAACCUUAGCCUACCAGAGUUUUCUUUCAAGACAAUUUAACAUUUUUUGUAUGCACGAACAUAAUUUGUGUGUAUAUAAAUAUACUCGGAGGUACCGUCUGGUUUAUGAUGGGUCUACUCCCAGUUUUCCAUCCCACUUCUAGAGUCUCAGGGACACGGAGGCCAAACUGAACACACAGUGGUCACGGUGACACUGAUAUAUGCUAGUACCUACGCAUCUGCAGUAAAAGAAAACAUCGAUAAAAAUAUUUUUGUGUACUUUUCAAUUUCACUGUGACACUUAAUAUUCCAUAUGACUCUAAAUAAACCCCAUUCCUCCAUCCCUGGUGCUGCUUAUAAAAACUG
Artibeus jamaicensis (Jamaican fruit-eating bat) is the source of this 787-nucleotide non-coding RNA. The record is from the annotation of a RefSeq genome assembly. Lineage: Eukaryota; Metazoa; Chordata; Mammalia; Chiroptera; Phyllostomidae.